Pelodiscus sinensis (Chinese soft-shelled turtle) is the source of this 726-nucleotide non-coding RNA. NCBI's taxonomy places the organism in Eukaryota, Metazoa, Chordata, Testudines, Trionychidae. The record is from RefSeq and is a predicted model, not a curated record.
GGUGUGGUGACACUGUGAGUGUAAACUUCUGAACUCAUCCGGAGAAAGUGGAAAUGGACCCUCAGACUGUUGUAGUUCUACAGCCCCAGAUUGCUGUUGCUCCUGCAUCAAGCAAUGCCUGGCAGACCGGGUUGCUAGACUGCUGCAGUGACUUUGGAGUCUGCCUAUGUGGAAUAGUCUGUUGCUGCUUUCUUGACUGUAAAAUUGCAGAUGAGAUGGGUGAAUGCUGCUGUUGUGGCUCAAGCGUUGCCAUGAGGACUCUGUACCGGACCAAAUACAGAAUCCCUGGAUCCAUCUUCUCUGAUUUCUGCAUUACCAGGUUUUGUCCUCUGUGUUCUCUUUGUCAAAUAAAGAGAGAUAUUAACAUAAGGAAAAAAAUGAGGAUAUUCUAGUAAGAUGCUCCUGUACUACUUCGUUGUGUGUCCUAGAGCCUCCACGUACAAGAGUCUGCAUAUAUAACAUUGCCUGCUCUAUGCAUUUUAAUGUCAUCGUGGCAAAGUGCUUUUUAUCUAAAAAAAGUCAAUACAAAAAAGAAACAAACUCAAUAUUGUUUUUGCAUGUGUGUUAACUUUCACUACUGCUUCUCAAGUGUCACUGAUGUACUAAGAUGUCUCCAAAAAUGUAGUCUCCUGUUCUUAAUUAUCUUUCUCGUGCUAAUGUACUCUAGCUUUAUUGUAUUUUCCCAUCAAUAGUUCUGCCUCCAUCCUAUAAGAACGUAAAAUAGAA